Long non-coding RNA from Myxocyprinus asiaticus (Chinese sucker), 1265 nucleotides. RefSeq lists it as uncharacterized. The transcript has 3 exons. The record is from RefSeq and is a predicted model, not a curated record. NCBI's taxonomy places the organism in Eukaryota, Metazoa, Chordata, Actinopteri, Cypriniformes, Catostomidae.
UUCUAUAAGCACUCCAGGAGGUGUUUGGCAGCUGUUUCCUGCAUUCCUUCAGUGAGGCAGUGUUUCUCCGCAGGGAGAAGAGUCCAUUGACACUUCAGGCACUGAUACAGCCAUGGAGAGGCUCAGCAUUCAUGCGCAGAGGGGAGGGGAGGGGAGAGGAGGGGAAGAGAGUAGCGUCUGCUCUCCUGGCUGUUGCUUGCUGCGCCGGCUGCCGCGGGGAGCCGGUGUGGAGAGUUGCUGGUUAUUAGUGAGGAUGGAGAGACAGUAGGAGCAGUUCUUCCCUUCUCUUGGUCUCGGUGCUCAACUGAUGCACGUGAAAAGUGGUGCAAGGCAGCAGAAGGGGAGUAAACGGGGGUAAAACCUGAUAGUGAGAGCAGGCUGGGGUUUCAGUGGGAGAGGGGCUUGCAGGAUUCUGGCUCGCUGUGGCUCGGCCAAUCAGGAGUCAGCGUGCGCUGGUGGUGGAGAGCAGGGGGAAUUGUUUGACAGGUUGCAUGCCAUGAGAAGGGGUUGCUCUUUUUUGUGUGUGUGUGCAGGAAUGUGUUCUGAGUGCCUAAGUGCAUGUGUACGCAGCACACCCACAACACUCUUUCUCUGACUCUCCAUUUUUCUCUAGCACUAUCUGCAUUAUUUUUCCCAGCAUGCCGAGGGUGCUGCUUGUUGAGGUUAAGCACUUGGGAGGACGACUGGCCCUGGGGACAUCAUUUUCCAUUACAGAGACAAGAAACCUUUUCUCUCAGAUGAAGAAGAAGGGAAAAAGUCAGAGCCAUGAACUGGUUAUGCUCCUUGUCAUUUUCUCUUACUCCCCCGACUCGCAAUUUGUUUAGUCAAUAUUUAAUGCCAGUGUUGUGCAGUACAGUUGUCUGUUGGCCCGAUCCAUGGGUUUGAUCUCCAUGUCUCGCCUGAUCUUUCUCUAGGCUUAUAGGCUUGCACUGAGCUGUGACGCUGAGUUUUUAGACAUGCCAAAAAGUGUGGCACAAGCUUGUAAAUGGCUACAUACUUUGCUCUGAUGCAGUGCAAAGGAAAAGAUGGAAAUAGAGAGAAAAACUGAAAAUGGACAGAUGUGCUACAUGCAUUUUGUGCAAAAACAGCUCACCUUUAGUUCACUUCAGCUGCAUUCGAAUUCCUGUACUUUCUUAGUAUGUUCUGAAAUCGAUAAAUAACUUACUUCUCAACUGUUAAUAAAGAAUGUUCUUCAAGUAUGCAGUUGUGUAGCAUAAAUACAUUCCCAGACAUACUACAUCCUGUGUGUUCUUUGACCUAUAAUA